GCGGGAGUAGUUCAGCAGUAGAAUGCUUCCUUGCCAAGGAAGAGGUCGCGGGUGCGAAUCCCGUCUCCCGCUCCA
This 75-nucleotide transfer RNA is filed under the name Candidatus Veblenbacteria bacterium RIFOXYA2_FULL_43_9. RNAcentral describes it as "tRNA-Gly". It matches the Rfam family "tRNA". From Rfam's summary of the family: Transfer RNA (tRNA) molecules are approximately 80 nucleotides in length. Their secondary structure includes four short double-helical elements and three loops (D, anti-codon, and T loops). The record is from RNAcentral. RNAcentral also lists the same sequence under 8 other names. Lineage: Bacteria; Candidatus Vebleniibacteriota.